UACGUAGGGUGCGAGCGUUGUCCGGAAUUAUUGGGCGUAAAGGGCUCGUAGGCGGUUUGUCGCGUCGGGAGUGAAAACUCAGGGCUUAACCCUGAGCCUGCUUCCGAUACGGGCAGACUAGAGGUAUGCAGGGGAGAACGGAAUUCCUGGUGUAGCGGUGAAAUGCGCAGAUAUCAGGAAGAACACCCGUGGCUAAGGCGGCUCUCGUAGUACGGUACUGACGCUGAGACGCGAAAGCGUGGGGAGCGAACAGG
This 254-nucleotide ribosomal RNA is filed under the name uncultured bacterium. RNAcentral's name for it is "partial 16S ribosomal RNA". It matches the Rfam family "Bacterial small subunit ribosomal RNA", at positions 524 to 776 of the family's 1533-position model. The record is from RNAcentral.